UAAACUAGGAUUAGAUACCCUAUUAUUUUAAAUGUAAAAAUUUGGAAAUACUAAAUUAGUAUUAGUUAUGUUCUUGAAAAUUAAAAAAUUUGGCGGUAUUUUAGUCUUUUCAGAGGAAUCUGUCCCGUAAUUGAUAGUCCACGAUUAAAUUUACUUUAUUUAUUAAUUUACAUAUCGUCGUAGUUUGAAUAUUUUAAAAGAAUAUUAAUAUUCAAAAUUUUAAAUUAAAAAAUAAAUCAGAUCAAGGUGUAGUUUAUAAUAAAGAAGAGAUGGAUUACAAUAAAUUUAUUUUAGGAUAAUUUAUUUAAAAUAAAUUUGAAUUUGGAUUUGAGAGUAAUUUUAAAUAUUUUUUUAAUAUGAUUAUAGCUCUAAAAUAUGUACACAUCGCCCGUCGCUCUUAA
RNAcentral lists this ribosomal RNA (401 nucleotides) under Bruchidius centromaculatus. Its description in RNAcentral is "partial 12S ribosomal RNA". Lineage: Eukaryota; Metazoa; Arthropoda; Insecta; Coleoptera; Chrysomelidae. The record is from RNAcentral.